RNAcentral lists this long non-coding RNA (393 nucleotides) under Zostera marina. RNAcentral describes it as "long non-coding RNA (ZMAR_LNC004128)". The record is from RNAcentral. Lineage: Eukaryota; Viridiplantae; Streptophyta; Magnoliopsida; Alismatales; Zosteraceae.
CCUUGGUAACCAGCACCGGGACCUCCCUGAGGAGGAGGAGGUAACCCUUGAUAACUAUUGCCGCUAGGUCUUCCCUGAAGGGGAGGCGUUCCUUGAUAACCACCAGGAGUCACUUGAUAACCGCCAGUACCUCCUUGAGGAGGGGAGGUCCCUUGAUAACUACCACCAGAACCACCCAUUGGAGGAGGGGAAGACAUUCCUCUAAAACCACCACCACCACUAGGACCUCCCUGAAAUGGGGGAGGAGACAUGCCUUGAAAACUACCACCAGCAGAACUAGGCAUCCCUUGAUAACCUGCACCAGGACUUCCUACUUGAGCAGCACUACUUGGGUAACCACGACCUCCUACUUGAGGAGCACCACCAGGGUAACCACCAUUAGGACUUCCUGCU